GAAGAAGAAGAAGAGUUUGGAUUUGAUAUCCCGCUUUAUCACUACCCGAAGGAGUCUCAAAGCGGCUAACAUUCUCCUUUCCCUUCCUCCCCCACAACAAACACUCUGUGAGAAAGCAAGGGCACUUGAAAGUGCUGCAAAAUUGGCUGGGUUGUGAGGCGCCAGCACCCAUCGACAUACCUAUCAAGGGGACGGAAUCUGAGGUGGCAGGCAUGAUCUCAGCAACAAGCAGCAUGAAAACCGUGAGAGACAGGAGGACCGUAAUACCUGCAAUCAAAUUGCGAAGGAGACAAAAGAGUCAGCUGGCAGCAAGAAAACAAGCAAUGCUAAGCCUGAUAUGAGGACGCAUGGAAUCACUUCGAGCAUCUGCAGAUCAAGCAGCCAGCCAUUGUGCGUCCAGGAGCCAAACUUCAAAUCGCAUUUCUGCACAUCAAAAGGAAACCAGCGGACAUCAAUGUAACAUGUGCUCUUCAAGAUGCCUGAGGUAGGAAAUGGCAAGAUGGGCAGCUUUGUGAGUAGAGAUUCCUUCAUGCUAUUACAGACUUGGGCCAGGUUAUCUUAAAGAGUACCUCCUCCCAUAGAUGCCACCUGAACCUUAAGAUCCUCUUCAAAGGACCUUCUCCUUUUGCCUCCUCCAAGUCAGCUGAAGCAAUUAUCAAGUACAGAGCCUUUUUGGUAGUGGCACCGUUCCUACUGAAUGACAUUCCAGAGAUUCUUGCCUGGCCCAACUCACCUGACUCUGCUUUAUACAUGAUUGAAGCAGAUCCUGGUUAAACACCCACAAACUGGGCAUGAUCACAUGCACUUUGGUCAGCUGUGAAAAUUGCAACCUGCUCAUAGUCUAGCUAAGUUCCAUGGAUUAUACUACUUUUGCAAACUUCUGUUUACUGCAUAUCACCAAACGUUCUACAAGUCUGUUUCAAAUUACAACUGCAAUGCUUCUUCAACAAAAAACGACAACAAAGACACUUUGGAGCGUGUGCUGACAUUCAUAAAAGAGCAUAUAAUGGCCAUAUAUCCCCUUGGAAUUGAUUUCAUUUUCUUAUAACUUGCUCUCCAGUAGAAACCUGCC
Podarcis raffonei (Aeolian wall lizard) is the source of this 1072-nucleotide long non-coding RNA. RefSeq lists it as uncharacterized. NCBI's taxonomy places the organism in Eukaryota, Metazoa, Chordata, Lepidosauria, Squamata, Lacertidae. The transcript has 5 exons. The record is from RefSeq and is a predicted model, not a curated record.